UCGCCUCAUCUCGCUCCCGCCAUCAGCGAGGCAGCGGCGGGGCCACUCUCGGCCCUUCGGGAGGGCGAGCGGGUUGCGCGGUAGCGACCGGGAGGGAAACACCCAGGGCCGGGGCAGGAAUGCGAAGGAGGAAGUGGGGGAUAAUGAUGGAGUGUAGCGGUGUUUGUAAUGCGAGGACCUUUUGAAAUCCUUUAACGACUCUGAGGGCAAGGUGAGCGAAUAAAGUUUAUUUUGCUGCUCAAUAAGAGCUCGAAUGGAAGGAAAGCUGUCUCUUACAAGUUUUAUGCCAUUGAAAGUAGGUGAGCUCCUCAGGAGUCGGGAAAAUUUUAUUCCGCUUGAUUAAAUGCCAGUUUAAUCAGAGCUGUUUACACAACUGUAGAGUAAUGAAAGAGCAACAUUUUUAGCAUAGUAGAUGGGUGAAAAUGGGCCACUGUAAGGCUGAAAACAUGACAGAAGGUGCACCGAAGUACUAAUUAAGCUUCUUAAUUGGGAAAAUAAUAACGCCCUUUUCAGGUCUACACUAGCACCUUGCAUUUCUCAAAUACAUGAACACAUACUGGUCUAAGGAAAGUCAGUAUUAUGUUAAGAUGUCAAAGUCAGUUUUCUGUCUGUGCAUAAUCAUAAGGGUUUUUUUCCUUUAAUACACUGUUAAAUGUGUGGCUCCUAGAGUUCCAAAAUGUGGUAUGUCAUCCACAUUGCCCAAGACUACUUCUUUUGUGGAAACUACAUCUUCACUCACUGGAACCGACCUAAUCCUCUAGAAGAUAAUCCUCCCUCACCCCAGAGGAAGUCCUGUUUAGGCCUUUUGACAAGUUAAGCCUGCAUAUAAAAGUAUGUCUCGUAAGAAACAUGAAUUCAAACCAAGAUAGUAACCACUGCCUCCCAGCUUACAUACUCAUUUCCUGAUACAGGAGCAGCUUUGCUCUUGGUUUUGUUUCAGCUGGGGUCCACCUUUUUCAAGCAACCUUAGCACGUAAUUUGGGCUACCCAAAAGUUAAACCAUGCAGGAUUCUGUCACCACAUGAGCUACCAACGUUCUCUUAAACACUGCCAAGGCAGUAAUUGAUGUCAUAUGAGCGUGCAGCUAAUCAGCAUGGCCUUCUCCAAACCUUGAAGGAGUACUAUGGGAGAGCUCUGCAGAGCAGUGCUUUAAGCCCUGUGAUAGAAGGACAGCUUCGUUCUUUGAACCAUUUAAUUACCAUUCAAGUUAUUUUCCUGUUAUGAAAAGCUGAAACUGAAAAGCUUUGGGGAAAAAAAUCCUGCUGACUGUUUUCUGCUGAGUCAUUCCGCUGGUUUAUCAGAAGCAUUUCACAAACACUGUAAUACAACUCCCGCCAGUUGCAAUCAAAUCUCCUUUUGUUUGUGAGCUCAGAAUCUGAAUUCCCCUUUUCAAGGUAGAAAUAAAAUACAGCGAAAUGUGGGACACCUGAGAUUUGUCUGUAAUAACAGCUGGCACCAAUUUAAAUCAAUCUCCAUUCAGUCUUUUGAAUGUGUUCUAGGUAUAUUAGUAAUGUAUAUAACUAAUAGGAAUCCACUUACCUUACUUCACCCUUUCUCUAGUUUUUUGUUAUUCUCUCUGAAAGCUCUGUAGAAAGGACAUGCUCAGAACAUCGGUGUUCUAAUGGCACAAGUCAGAGUAUGCGAGCCACUGACAGAUUGCUCUGAAUAUCCACGUAGUUGCUGAGUGAUAUUUCAAAUUGACAAUUCUGGUUUUGUGGUCAGAUCUCCAGAAUCCUGACGGUGGAAUUUUUUGUUUGCUUGUUGGUUUUUAUUGGGGUUUAUUUUCCUAACAGCCAACACUAUUCCAAUCUGGGUUUGGCAAGCGUUUCAGAAACAGCUGGUACAUGACCAUAUGCUGUGCUGGCGCUGCUGUGAGCUUAUUUCCCACUUGUCCUCCUGGUCAAUCAGAGCUGCUCCAUGUGCCGAAGGACAGCUGGUCCCUUGGCAUGCAAAGCAGCUAAUGAACUUUUCCUCCAGAAGACCGUAGAGAUAGAGCAUGCUGACUCCAAUCAGCAGCUUCGCCUUUCUGAACUGCUAUCAAAGAUGGAGGCUCUCUAAGGGAACCCUGUUUGUUGCCUCUGUGCGACAACCUACACACAGCGAGAACAACUCAGUGGGUGUGCAUCAGAGGUGACAGCACUUGUUUGGAAAAUCAAGGCAAAAUGAUCUGUGUUGAAAAGAAUGCUAAACCACAUCUGAGUGACUGAUGCACUUGUGCUUUUAGCUGUUCAGCCUCAGCACGUACUGCUGUUUUCCUUUUUCAUUCUGACCCCUGCUGGAAAGGGUCUCCAAUAAAUUUCUAAAAAUGUAUCUAUUUUACCAUAUUUCACUGUGAAGGAGGAGUUGCACAUCAGUUCAGUAUUACAUAGCCACAUCUUGUAAGCAUUUUACCACCAGCCAUCCAUCUUACUUCCUUAAAACUGGUCAUUUUAUAAUAUUCCCUAGAAUUUCCUGCUAGAUGCAAUAAAACCCAGUUUUCCCUGAGCAGGGGUUCUGUAUCAGUUAACUUUGAAAGUCAUGAUAAGCAGUCAUUAGACAGUCCUUUAUUGUUCACACUUCAUAAACUGUUCAUAUGAAAUGCUUCAUGGAAACAAUUUGCCCAUUCAGCGUUUUAGAAAUUGAGAUGGAGCAACAUUCAGGAGGGAAUAAAUGUAAUUUGAGAACAAAAGAGAUCAUCUAAGUGUGCAGGAUCUACAUAAAGAAUAGCAGAAUCAGAAUAGUUUAGCUUGGAAAAUACCUUAAAGACCAUAUAGUUCAAAUAUAUACAGAAAUUCAUAGGUGUUUUUAAAACCCAGAAAAUGAAUGGACCUUACUGUAAGGUGAAAGAAGAAACACACAACAGAUACUUGAUGUGUUUUAUUGGGUAUCUUGAUGGACAGCUUCAGCAGUAUAUAAUUAUCUCUUUGAAACGACUUUGCUUAAUUGCAUGAAAGCUUGCAUAACUUUUUUACUACUUUUCAUGGUCCAUUUCAGGUUUCGAGCAAAGAGUCAUGCAAAACAUUCACACCUCCCAGAAGUAUUAACUGAGUUCAAAUGACACAUUCAAAAGGCAUUCCUCAGCACUGGAUCAGGUUUCAGAUUCCUUUUUACUGAUCCCUCUCUCCUAAUAAUAUCCUGGCAAGUGAAAAAGCAAGCAAUAGAUGCCCACAACAUCAGAGGACCAUUUAAUUGUCAGCAUCGAGGACCUCAUCUACUGCAGUCAAUGGAAAAUAACAUUAAAUUUUAUCAGGAUCUGCAUUAGGCUGUAGUUUCAACCUUUCUCCUGACAGAAUUCUCCCUAACUGGGUACAAUAUCUUUAAUAAGAAUGCGCUAGCAUGCACUAACAAUUGGGAAACCCUAAUAACACCUUUAGAAACCUUUGGGAAGUCCAAAAUAAUAUGUGAACAGGAGUCUGUCCCAACAUGCUGCUGUAUGCAUAAAACAGACCACCUGAAGUCCACCAUAAUACUUGGAGAAGAUGUGAAAGAACCAUCAUCAUUGCCUACACCACUUUGGACAAAGAGCCAACAGUACAACAGAUAAAGAAUUUGAAGGCUUUAUGCUACAUAAUGAAUGUAAAAGUCCAAGUACCUAGAUACAGCAUUUGAAACAGUAAACCAAGGAACAGCUUUCACUAGCGGUGCAAUGAAAAGACUACAGAAAGUACACUGUUACAAAAAUGAAAUAAUGUCCCCAAGUGGUAAAAUACAAAGGAAAUAUUACACGUAAUUGCAUUUUAAGGCCAGUUUAGUCGCCGUAAAAUAUAUCAAUGUCUCAAAAUUUGAUCUUUAUUUGCUGAUGCAUAUGUAGAAGAAUUUGAUGUCAUAAUGAGGUACUAAUUUAAUUGCAUUAUAUUUGUUGCUACAUCAGCUAUUGUCAAGCCAUUAAGUUAAUUACAUGUUAAGUUUUAAACUAGAUGAAACACAUUAUGACAUCUGUUUUUUCCUAUUUACUACAGCAUUCCAGAAUUACCAUGUUGGAAAUGUCUGAGGUUUUGGCAGCUUGCUGUCUUACAAAUAGUUCAUGAAUACAAUUAACCAUCCUUGAGUAGCCUGCAGCAUCAGCAGCCAAUCCUUGCCUUCCUCGUCAGAAAUACAAUUAUUGUUCCACACUAAUUCUAUCAACCAUUUUUGGGUUGGUUUAUUUCAGGCCAUAUUCUCAGUCAGUGAAAAUGCUGAAAACAGAGUUGGUCACAUUAAACUAGCUGGCAGUCUGACCACAGACUGUGGAAUUAAUAUACUAAAAGAUUCAUUCCAUCUUUAUUAAUGAUCUUUGUGAAAGAAAAAAUGAAAGAAACACAUGAAAAUGUAUCACAUUCUUAAAGUACCAAUUGCAUAGAAGGACUUAGGCUUUUCAUCCCAUGCAUCAGCAUUUUCUUAACAUGAUAAUGUGUUGCAGACCCUAGUAAAAGAAAAGAUACUUUGUGUAUUAGUGGCUUAUUGUCCUGGCACUUUGACAUUACAUUUUGACUGAUCAAAAAAGCUUUCUUAUCUGAUCCCAUGGUAAAGAAACUGCAAAGCGAAAAGAGGGCAUGUUUUCAGAUGCUUAAAAAAAUGUUUUGAAAGCUGCGGCAGAUAAGGGAAUCUGGAUUCAUGACUUAUAGGCUGUAACAAACUUAUGUUUGUCCUGGU
Long non-coding RNA from Neopsephotus bourkii (Bourke's parrot), 4611 nucleotides. RefSeq lists it as uncharacterized. The transcript has 3 exons. NCBI's taxonomy places the organism in Eukaryota, Metazoa, Chordata, Aves, Psittaciformes, Psittacidae. The record is from RefSeq and is a predicted model, not a curated record.